Molecule: transfer RNA, 75 nt
Filed under: Candidatus Aenigmatarchaeota archaeon
Lineage: Archaea; Nanobdellati; Candidatus Aenigmatarchaeota
Description: tRNA-Glu
Rfam family: tRNA
About the family: Transfer RNA (tRNA) molecules are approximately 80 nucleotides in length.
Source: RNAcentral
GCUCCGGUCGUCUAGUCCGGUCAAGGAUCCGGGCCUUUCGAGCCCGUGACGCGGGUUCAAAUCCCGUCCGGAGCA